Molecule: ribosomal RNA, 323 nt
Filed under: uncultured eukaryote
Lineage: Eukaryota
Description: partial 18S ribosomal RNA
Rfam family: Eukaryotic small subunit ribosomal RNA
Source: RNAcentral
CCCUUAGAUGUUCUGGGCCGCACGCGCGCUACACUGAUACAUGCAACGAGUUUAUAACCUUGAUCUGACGGUCUGGGUAAUCUUCAAACUGUAUCGUGUUAGGGAUCGAUUCUUGCAAUUUUUAAUCGUAAACGAGGAAUUCCUAGUAAACGCAAGUCAUCAGCUUGCAUUGAUUACGUCCCUGCCCUUUGUACACACCGCCCGUCGACUCUACCGAUUGAAUGGUUCGGUGAAAACUUUGGACUGUGGCAUUGUCCUUCAUUGGACUUCGCCGUAGGAAAUUGUUUAAACCUCAUCAUUUAGAGGAAGAAUAAGUCGGAACA